GACUUAUAUUCUGUAGCAAGGUUAACCGUAUAGGGGAGCCGAAGGGAAACCGAGUCUUAACCGGGCGUUAAGUUGCAGGGUAUAGACCCGAAACCCGGUGAUCUAGCCAUGGGCAGGUUGAAGGUUGGGUAACACUAACUGGAGGACCGAACCGACUAAUGUUGAAAAAUUAGCGGAUGACCUGUGGCUGGGGGUGAAAGGCCAAUCAAACCGGGAGAUAGCUGGUUCUCCCCGAAAGCUAUUUAGGUAGCGCCUCGUGAAUUCAUCUCCGGGGGUAGAGCACUGUUUCGGCUAGGGGGCCAUCCCGGCUUACCAACCCGAUGCAAACUGCGAAUACCGGAGAAUGUUAUCACGGGAGACACACGGCGGGUGCUAACGUCCGUCGUGAAGAGGGAAACAACCCAGACCGCCAGCUAAGGUCCCAAAGUCAUGGUUAAGUGGGAAACGAUGUGGGAAGGCCCAGACAGCCAGGAUGUUGGCUUAGAAGCAGCCAUCAUUUAAAGAAAGCGUAAUAGCUCACUGGUCGAGUCGGCCUGCGCG
RNAcentral lists this ribosomal RNA (540 nucleotides) under Salmonella enterica. RNAcentral's name for it is "partial 23S ribosomal RNA". It matches the Rfam family "Bacterial large subunit ribosomal RNA", at positions 625 to 1165 of the family's 2925-position model. The record is from RNAcentral. Lineage: Bacteria; Pseudomonadati; Pseudomonadota; Gammaproteobacteria; Enterobacterales; Enterobacteriaceae.